Molecule: ribosomal RNA, 253 nt
Filed under: uncultured bacterium
Lineage: Bacteria
Description: partial 16S ribosomal RNA
Rfam family: Bacterial small subunit ribosomal RNA
Source: RNAcentral
UACGAAGGGGGCUAGCGUUGCUCGGAAUUACUGGGCGUAAAGGGCGCGUAGGCGGAUAUCUAAGUUGGGGGUGAAAUCCCGGGGCUCAACCUCGGAAUUGCCUUCAAAACUGGAUAUCUUGAGUUCGGGAGAGGUGAGUGGAACUCCGAGUGUAGAGGUGAAAUUCGUAGAUAUUCGGAAGAACACCAGUGGCGAAGGCGACACACUGGCUCGCUACUGACGCUGAGGCGCGAAAGCGUGGGGAGCAAACAGG